Molecule: ribosomal RNA, 437 nt
Filed under: uncultured Acetivibrio sp.
Lineage: Bacteria; Bacillati; Bacillota; Clostridia; Acetivibrionales; Acetivibrionaceae
Description: partial 16S ribosomal RNA
Rfam family: Bacterial small subunit ribosomal RNA
Source: RNAcentral
ACGGGAGGCAGCAGUGGGGGAUAUUGCGCAAUGGGGGAAACCCUGACGCAGCAACGCCGCGUGCAGGAUGACGGCCUUCGGGUUGUAAACUGUUGUCGCAAGGGAAGAAACAAACGACGGUACCUUGUGAGAAAGCCACGGCUAACUACGUGCCAGCAGCCGCGGUAAUACGUAGGUGGCAAGCGUUGUCCGGAUUUACUGGGUGUAAAGGGCGCGUAGGCGGGAUAGCAAGUCAGUCGUGAAAUACCGGGGCUCAACUCCGGAGCUGCGAUUGAAACUGUUAUUCUUGAGUAUCGGAGAGGAAAGCGGAAUUCCUAGUGUAGCGGUGAAAUGCGUAGAUAUUAGGAGGAACACCAGUGGCGAAGGCGGCUUUCUGGACGACAACUGACGCUGAGGCGCGAAAGUGUGGGGAGCAAACAGGAUUAGAUACCCUGGUA